UGGGGAAUAUUGCACAAUGGGCGCAAGCCUGAUGCAGCGACGCCGCGUGAGGGAUGAAGGCCUUCGGGUUGUAAACCUCUUUCGUCAGGGAACAAGGCACUACGUUUUGGUGGUGUUGAGGGUACCUGGACAAGAAGCGCCGGCUAACUACGUGCCAGCAGCCGCGGUAAUACGUAGGGCGCAAGCGUUGUCCGGAAUUAUUGGGCGUAAAGAGCUCGUAGGCGGCUGGUCGCGUCUGUCGUGAAAACUUCCGGCUCAACCGGGGGCUUGCGGUGGGUACGGGCCGGCUAGAGUGCGGUAGGGGUAACUGGAACUCCUGGUGUAGCGGUGGAAUGCGCAGAUAUCAGGAAGAACACCAGUGGCGAAGGCGGCCUUCUGGGCCAUAACUGACGCUGAGGAGCGAAAGCUAGGGGAGCAAACAGGAUUAGAUACCCUGGUAGUCCUAGCCGUAAACGAUGGACACUAGGUGUGGGGGAAUAUUUCUUCCGUGCCGCAGCUAACGCAUUAAGUGUCCCGCCUGGGGAGUACGGCCGCAAGGCUA
RNAcentral lists this ribosomal RNA (541 nucleotides) under uncultured bacterium. RNAcentral describes it as "bacterial SSU rRNA". It matches the Rfam family "Bacterial small subunit ribosomal RNA", at positions 355 to 896 of the family's 1533-position model. The record is from RNAcentral.